RNAcentral lists this ribosomal RNA (447 nucleotides) under uncultured bacterium. Its description in RNAcentral is "bacterial SSU rRNA". It matches the Rfam family "Bacterial small subunit ribosomal RNA", at positions 355 to 825 of the family's 1533-position model. The record is from RNAcentral.
UGGGGAAUAUUGGACAAUGGGCGCAAGCCUGAUCCAGCCAUGCCGCGUGAGUGACGAAGGCCUUAGGGUUGUAAAGCUCUUUUGGCGGGGAAGAUAAUGACGGUACCCGCAGAAUAAGCUCCGGCUAACUUCGUGCCAGCAGCCGCGGUAAUACGAAGGGAGCUAGCGCUGUUCGGAAUCACUGGGCGUAAAGCGCACGUAGGCGGAUGUGUCAGUCAGGGGUGAAAUCCCGGAGCUCAACUUCGGAACUGCCCUUGAUACAGCACGUCUUGAGUCCGAUAGAGGUGGGUGGAAUUCCUAGUGUAGAGGUGAAAUUCGUAGAUAUUAGGAAGAACACCGGUGGCGAAGGCGGCCCACUGGAUCGGUACUGACGCUGAGGUGCGAAAGCGUGGGGAGCAAACAGGAUUAGAUACCCCUGUAGUCCCUGAGCGGGCUGGCAAGGCGCAU